CGUAGGCAGCAAGCGUUGUUCGGAGUUACUGGGCGUAAAGGGUGUGUAGGCGGUUCUUUAAGUUUGGUGUGAAAUCUCCCGGCUCAACUGGGAGGGUGCGCCGAAUACUGAGGGACUAGAGUACGGGAGAGGAAAGUGGAAUUCCUGGUGUAGCGGUGAAAUGCGUAGAUAUCAGGAGGAACACCGGUGGUGUAGACGGCUUUCUGGACCGUAACUGACGCUGAGACACGAAAGCGUGGGUAGCAAACAGGAUUAGAUACCCUGGUAGUCCACGCCCUAAACGAUGCAUAUUUGGUGUGGGCAGUUCAUUCUGUCCGUGCCGGAGCUAACGCGUUAAAUAUGCCGCCUGGGGAGUACAGUCGCAAGGCUG
This 370-nucleotide ribosomal RNA is filed under the name uncultured organism. RNAcentral's name for it is "bacterial SSU rRNA". It matches the Rfam family "Bacterial small subunit ribosomal RNA", at positions 526 to 896 of the family's 1533-position model. The record is from RNAcentral.